UGUGGCAUGUGUGUGUGCAUGUGUAUAUAUACGUAUAUAUAUGUAUGUAUACACACACACACACACACAAUGGAAUACUCUCAC
Molecule: microRNA precursor, 84 nt
Filed under: Tursiops truncatus (common bottlenose dolphin)
Lineage: Eukaryota; Metazoa; Chordata; Mammalia; Artiodactyla; Delphinidae
Description: miRNA (ENSTTRG00000022456.1)
Source: RNAcentral